UAACACGUGGGUAACCUGCCCUGAUGAUCGGGACAACCCGAGGAAACUCGGGCUAAUACCGAAUGUGCCCUCCAGCCACAAGGCUGACGGGGAAAGGAAGCUUCGGCCUCCGCAUCGGGAUGGGCCCGCGGCCCAUUAGCUUGUUGGUGAGGUAACGGCUCACCAAGGCGACGAUGGGUAGCUGGUCUGAGAGGACGAUCAGCCACACUGGGACUGAGACACGGCCCAG
RNAcentral lists this ribosomal RNA (229 nucleotides) under uncultured bacterium. RNAcentral describes it as "partial 16S ribosomal RNA". It matches the Rfam family "Bacterial small subunit ribosomal RNA", at positions 111 to 334 of the family's 1533-position model. The record is from RNAcentral.